RNAcentral lists this ribosomal RNA (424 nucleotides) under uncultured bacterium. Its description in RNAcentral is "partial 16S ribosomal RNA". It matches the Rfam family "Bacterial small subunit ribosomal RNA", at positions 354 to 795 of the family's 1533-position model. The record is from RNAcentral.
GUGGGGAAUAUUGCACAAUGGGGGAAACCCUGAUGCAGCAACGCCGCGUGAGUGAUGACGGUCUUCGGAUUGUAAAACUCUGUCUUUAGGGACGAUAAUGACGGUACCUAAGGAGGAAGCCACGGCUAACUACGUGCCAGCAGCCGCGGUAAUACGUAGGUGGCAAGCGUUGUCCGGAUUUACUGGGCGUAAAGGGAGCGUAGGUGGAUAUUUAAGUGGGAUGUGAAAUACUCGGGCUUAACCUGAGUGCUGCAUUCCAAACUGGAUAUCUAGAGUGCAGGAGAGGAAAGUAGAAUUCCUAGUGUAGCGGUGAAAUGCGUAGAGAUUAGGAAGAAUACCAGUGGCGAAGGCGACUUUCUGGACUGUAACUGACACUGAGGCUCGAAAGCGUGGGGAGCAAACAGGAUUAGAUACCCCAGUAGUC